Molecule: ribosomal RNA, 254 nt
Filed under: uncultured bacterium
Lineage: Bacteria
Description: partial 16S ribosomal RNA
Rfam family: Bacterial small subunit ribosomal RNA
Source: RNAcentral
UACGUAGGUGGCAAGCGUUGUCCGGAUUUACUGGGCGUAAAGGGCGCGUAGGCGGUCAGCACAAGUCAGUUGUGAAAUCUCCGGGCUUAACUCGGAAAGGUCAACUGAUACUGUGCGACUAGAGUGCGGAAGGGGCAACUGGAAUUCUUGGUGUAGCGGUGAAAUGCGUAGAUAUCAAGAGGAACACCUGCGGCGAAGGCGGGUUGCUGGGCCGACACUGACGCUGAGGCGCGAAAGCCAGGGGAGCGAACGGG